UAUGAAAUAAUAUGUAUAGGUAUUAGGGAGUAGGGACUCUAGUAAAUCGAUCUUAAAAUUUUAAAAUUAUUUCAAUUACCUACGACUAAAAAUAUUAAAUUAUUAUUGACUAUAAUAUGUUUUACUGAAGAUAAUAAUAUGAUAUCAAUGAUGAAAGUAAUAUCAUAAACCUUGUCAAAUUCCCAGAUAAGCCUUUAAAAUGUAUAAAUCUAAUGGUAUACUAAUUAUUAUUGCUACGCAUUCUUCAUUGUACAACACUAAGUGUACAAGUUGUCGGUUUAAUUCCUUUGAUUUUUUUCCACUGAAAACUUUAGAAUAAGGUCGGAUGUUUUGGAUAUUAAUUUGACAACUCUUAAUACAGAAAUUAUUUAAGAAUCUAACUGCAAUCUUCACAAUAAUGAACCUACAAGCUUUCCUAAGUACUAGUGUUGUAGUCAAAUUACCAUGUUUAGUUUUGUGGCAAGGAAUUUAGUAGAAUGAGUUACUCAUAUACUCAAGAGAAAUAUGAUUUUAACUCAAUCAGUUGUAAAUCCUAGAAACGAAGAGUUAUUCGUUAUAAUGAAAACGCAGUUGAAAAAAAUGAGACGUCUACAUUUGUAUGGACUCAAAAAAAAAAAAUUGUCAAAUCAGUGUUUAUCAUCAUACGAAGUGGCUCUACUCUAUUUAACAAAUUUCAACAUUCAAGGAUUAAAAAAAAUUAAUAAGUUUCUACCGUACAUAUGGCAAUAAUUAAAUAUAGACCUAUGAAAACUAUCAAAGCGACUGCUGAUGUAUCUACAAGUUAAUCUUUAUGACGCUAUAUAGUAACAUUAGUAACUAAUCUGACCAUUAUGAAUAUUACUAUUUUUAUUAAUAUUUUGGCAAUUUAUUUUAAUAUGUUAUUGAACAAAUUCAGUAUAAACUCAUAUGCAAUAAAUUUUAUUGAUGGAUUUUGCUGCUAGAUAGUAUAAUAUGAACUGAUGAUUCUUAAUAUUAUUAUGCUUAUAAAGUUUUCGCUAAUUUCUUUUAAUGUGUUAUUUGACCAACUCAAAAAUGAUUUCAAUAUGCAAUGAAUUUAAUUGUAGAGCUAUAUAAAUCAGGAAAAUCAAUAACAGGAAUAGAAUAUUAAAUUUGGGAUUGUUUUUUUUUUUUUUGUAUGAAAUGUUAUUUCUACAGAAUAGUAAUUUUAAUAGAAAUAAAUAAUAAUAUUUAAUUGUAAUAUUGUCCUGAUAAAUACUAGGUUUAUAAUAUAUUAUCUUAGUGUAAUUAGUCUCUUCCUUUAAGAUCUAAAGUUGUCAUUUUCCAAUUUUUUUUUGCAUCCUUGAAAAUGAUUUUGAACAAUCUCAUAAGUGAUUCAAUAAUCAUUUGCAAAGAAUUUUAUUGAUGCAUUACCGUGCUAGAUAGUAUAUGAUAUAAUGGUUUUUAAUUAUUAAUAUUAUGUUGUACAUUUUUAUUGCACUCUCGAAACAUGUUAUUUAUUUGACUAACUCAGAAUUGGUUAAAACAUUGUUUGCUUUGAAUUUUAUUGAUACAUUUGGUUUGUGUUGUUUUGAUCAUUAUUAUAAAAUAUGUGUUUUCUAUUUAUCUCAUUGUUGAAUUUUGCUGAUAAUAGUAUUUGUAAUGAUUAUUGGUUUGUAUGUUAUUCUCUGCUCCAUCCCCUUAUGGUCAAUGUAUCAAUAAUUUAUAAUACUUAAAAAUCUAGAUAACAUUGCAAUUUGAUUUUUGAAAAUUUGUUCUCUGACUGGCUAUAUUAUAUAAUAUCUUAGUAUAGGUAGUCUCUCCUUAAGAUCUUAAGUUGUUAUGUCAUUGUACAAUUUUUUUUGAUUCCUUUUGAAAUGAUUUUGAACAAUCUCAUAAGUGAUUAAAUAAUUAUUUCCAAUGAAUUUCAUUGAUGCAUUUGAGUGCUUGGACAGUAUAUGUUAUGAUGAUUAUUAAUAUCAUAUAUUUUGCUAUACACUUUUAUUGAACUAUUUUUAACAUAUUAUUAAACAAUUAUUUGCAAUUAAUUUCAUUGAUGUAUUUGGUGACGUUCUUAUGAUCAUUAUUAUAAAAGAUGUUUUGCAUUCCUCCAAUAUGUUUUUUUAACCAUAUUGUUAGAUUUUGCUGAUGAUUAUUGUUUUGUAGUUUUUGUGUAGUGCUUUGUAUGUUAAUCUUAUUUCUGCCCCCUUAUCAUCAAUAUAAUAUGGUGUAUAUUUAUAAAAAUAAUUUUUUGGCUGUGCAGUAAUAGAAAGCAACUAGCAAGUUAUAUAGCACCUAGAGGCUUCUAUAUAUUUAACAGAAUUUUGCCAAAAUAAUUUUAUGCAUGUGCUACAGGUGGUGGUAAACAUGCCUAAAAUGAUCAGUAGGUCCCUAGUUUAAAUUUUAACUCAAAUUUUGCCUGCAAAAGUAUCAUGUUGAUAUAUUAUACAAUAUAUAAUAAGUUAUAACCACAAGGAAAAUAUGUCAGAUAAAUUGUUUGCUGUAUAUGCUAGAAACAAUUUUGAUUUCAAUAGAAUAAAGUUAACAACAAUACAAUUUUGCUAUUUAGAUUAUACUCAAAAUGUGGAUAGUAUUCUUAUUUAACAGAGUUAAGAUCUAAUUUUAAUUUGUUUUUCCUAAUUUUUGAUAACAUAAACACCUCAAAAACUAAAUAUUAUUUUUUCAUUUAUGUAAUAUUUUAUUAUUAUU
Myzus persicae (green peach aphid) is the source of this 2646-nucleotide long non-coding RNA. RefSeq lists it as uncharacterized. The transcript is spliced from 4 exons. The record is from RefSeq and is a predicted model, not a curated record. NCBI's taxonomy places the organism in Eukaryota, Metazoa, Arthropoda, Insecta, Hemiptera, Aphididae.